AAAUCAAUGGCAACACUUAGACGUCAUCUUAGGGGAGCUCGUGAAGGGUAUUAUCGUUAUAAAAGUGAGUAUAUGACCUAUGUCUUGGAAGCCCUAGAACUGGAAGAUACAAUUAAAAAUUAUGAACGUGGCAAUUCAACUGGAUGGAAAUAUAUUUCAAGCUUCAGACCUGCUCGAACUGGUAAAUUGGGGGCCAUCUUUGAUACGAUGGAAUUUUUUUGGCGAUGCAUUUUAAGAAAGCAAUUUGAGAAGUUCUUGGCUAUCAUACUUGGUACUAUGUCA
Molecule: unclassified non-coding RNA, 282 nt
Filed under: Hevea brasiliensis (rubber tree)
Lineage: Eukaryota; Viridiplantae; Streptophyta; Magnoliopsida; Malpighiales; Euphorbiaceae
Source: RNAcentral